RNAcentral lists this ribosomal RNA (465 nucleotides) under Vreelandella stevensii. Its description in RNAcentral is "partial 16S ribosomal RNA". It matches the Rfam family "Bacterial small subunit ribosomal RNA", at positions 338 to 795 of the family's 1533-position model. Lineage: Bacteria; Pseudomonadati; Pseudomonadota; Gammaproteobacteria; Oceanospirillales; Halomonadaceae. The record is from RNAcentral.
CCUACGGGUGGCUGCAGUGGGGAAUAUUGGACAAUGGGGGGAACCCUGAUCCAGCCAUGCCGCGUGUGUGAAGAAGGCCCUCGGGUUGUAAAGCACUUUCAGUGAGGAAGAACGCCUGGUGGUUAAUACCCAUCAGGAAAGACAUCACUCACAGAAGAAGCACCGGCUAACUCCGUGCCAGCAGCCGCGGUAAUACGGAGGGGGCGAGCGUUAAUCGGAAUUACUGGGCGUAAAGCGCGCGUAGGUGGCUUGAUAAGCCGGUUGUGAAAGCCCCGGGCUCAACCUGGGAACGGCAUCCGGAACUGUCAAGCUAGAGUGCAGGAGAGGAAGGUAGAAUUCCCGGUGUAGCGGUGAAAUGCGUAGAGAUCGGGAGGAAUACCAGUGGCGAAGGCGGCCUUCUGGACUGACACUGACACUGAGGUGCGAAAGCGUGGGUAGCAAACAGGAUUAGAUACCCGAGUAGUC